RNAcentral lists this ribosomal RNA (495 nucleotides) under uncultured bacterium. RNAcentral describes it as "partial 16S ribosomal RNA". It matches the Rfam family "Bacterial small subunit ribosomal RNA", at positions 28 to 507 of the family's 1533-position model. The record is from RNAcentral.
GACGAACGCUGGCGGCGUGCCUAAUACAUGCAAGUAGAACGCUGAAGGAGGAGCUUGCUUCUCUGGAUGAGUUGCGAACGGGUGAGUAACGCGUAGGUAACCUGCCUGGUAGCGGGGGAUAACUAUUGGAAACGAUAGCUAAUACCGCAUAAGAGUAGAUGUUGCAUGACAUUUGCUUAAAAGGUGCAAUUGCAUCACUACCAGAUGGACCUGCGUUGUAUUAGCUAGUUGGUGGGGUAACGGCUCACCAAGGCGACGAUACAUAGCCGACCUGAGAGGGUGAACGGCCACACUGGGACUGAGACACGGCCCAGACUCCUACGGGAGGCAGCAGUAGGGAAUCUUCGGCAAUGGACGGAAGUCUGACCGAGCAACGCCGCGUGAGUGAAGAAGGUUUUCGGAUCGUAAAGCUCUGUUGUAAGAGAAGAACGAGUGUGAGAGUGGAAAGUUCACACUGUGACGGUAUCUUACCAGAAAGGGACGGCUAACUACGUG